Molecule: long non-coding RNA, 7581 nt
Filed under: Xyrichtys novacula (pearly razorfish)
Lineage: Eukaryota; Metazoa; Chordata; Actinopteri; Labriformes; Labridae
Source: RNAcentral
GACGCGUCCUCGAGAAUACAGAGUGUAUUUGUCAUGUGUUGAAGUUGCGAUCACAUGCUCACCUGAGAUUCUAGUAUUGGAGUAAAAAAUGGAUGUCUUCUGCCCAGAUUCUACAUCGUUCAGCUGCUUUGUUUUCACCUUUCCUCCAUCUGUGGUUUCUCCUGUGAGAUUAACAUGCUUGCAGCCGGUGCCAGCGGUCUUCAUUAGUUUUGAUGUAAAGGAUCAAAUGUGGCCCUUAUGAGCUUGUCAGCAGCAGGUGAAGCAGCUGUACUACUGGAAUGCAAAUGAUGAAGCCCGACCAUUUAUAGAGCUCGUUUUGCUCAAAAAUCUGUUGUGUGGUCCGGGUCUAAAUUUAGUUUCUCUCAAUAUGGAGAUUUGGUUUAGGUUAUUAGCAUUUAAUUGUGGUGUAAAGACCCACAUCCCUAAAAGGAGAAAUCAUCUCAUUGCUGUAGUUCCUGCUGUGCAUAUUAUAAAGAGAUUGGGUGUCUACGCACUAAUCGAUUGAAGCGGUUCAAUGACAAAAUUACCAUAGUGAAUAACGCUGAUGACUCUUAAUUAGCACAUAAAAUGAGAGGCGAGGGGAUCUGUUUUGAGCCGUCUUCUACAGCUUGAUAUUAAGUCGGUAACAGAGACAGAAAUCUACAAGCUUCUAAUUGCUCUGAAAAGAGGGAUCAGUCCUGAGAUAACACCUUGUGGAACCGUGUAUUUCGUUUUUCUUUCUCACCUGCCUCUGUGGCAGGCUGCUGAACAUUUUAAGAAGCCCCUUUUUUACCACUAAGAGUUUGAAUGUUUACCAUGAGUCAGUAAUACCCGAGUAAAUAAAUAUGGAUUAUAUUAUGUAACCUUAAUCCCUGAUUAUUCUUAACAGAAGAGCUGCUUUAUGAAAUUAUUUUUUAUUUAUGUUAUAAAAACAUACUUGCCAUUUUCAGGAGGUAACCUGGAUUUUUAAUCUCUCAGGGUUAAUAUUUAUCAUGUUUUUGGCUGAAGACGGAGUAAAAAACAUUCAGUGCUAGACACUUCAACCCACCAUGUUAACACACGUUGAUUCUAAGACUAAUUACAAAGUGCAGCACUGCAGUUGAGUCAUUUACUGCUGUGCAUGGAUGCAGUUUGUAUUAAUGAAACCUCACAAGAGAGACCACACUGCUAAUUGUUGUAUGAACUAAGUGAUAAUUGCAAAAGACAACCGUUCCGGUGUUAAUGAGAAAGCACGGAGAACUGAUCGCAGAUCAUCCUCUGAACCACUGUGAUGCUGUUUUCUCCUUGAGAUGGGCGAUUUGAUAUGCAGGGUGCAAAUCAUCCAUGACAAGCACUCAACCGCUAAUGAAGCCGCAAUAAUUUAAACAGCGGUUUAAAAGCAGCAUUGAAGUCUGCAUUCAGAACACAAAGUCACGACCUUUGACCUUUGUAUACUCAAUUAAAUCAAUAUAAAAUCUGAACUAUGAGAAGAAAUUUAUUGUGUUGGAAGACAUAUAACCUGGCGUGCAUACACAAUCGUGGGCAGCACUAUGAAGCCUCUACACAAGCAAUUUUACCCCCUUGGCAGCUCAAGGCGUUUGUAUUUCCCAGCAGAAUACUCUGCUCUGCAAUCUGCUGUCUCUGGCAGAAGAGAUCCAAAGAUAAAUGUGUUUUCUGGACUUUUAACGCUUGAUUUGCAGGUCUCACAGUUUUUUAAUAACUCUUAGAUUCAGGGCUAACAUGUUUCUGGAAUUGCUGGGAUAAUUUUAUCUUAAUUAUUGAUUCAACUUGCACUUCUCAUAUCAAAAAUAGAAAAUUAAUUAGUGUAACCUUGAGAGAUUUAGAGGACUGUGGAUCUGCUGAACACAUGAAUAAGAUGAGUAUUUAAUUCCAUUCAACUAAAGCGGUUUUAUUGAGAAUUAUGUACACACUCAACACAACAACCAUGAUUUAUCCAAUGAAUACUCUUCUUUUUUAUCCUUUAUUUCCAUGAAAGGAAUUUCCAAAACCAUUAGUGUAUUUAUCCAUAAAACAAACUCAGUUGAGUUAAGAUAGUUGAGUGUACAAUCUGAAAGGAAUAAACUCUUUACUUCUGUAGAGAUCUGAAAUUGCUAUCAAAUCUUAAGGUCAUAUCAAACCAUGGCUAACCCUGAAUUUCAUGCCCGUUCUUAGAGUAUUAUUUAGCCUCAAAUUGAUAAAUUUUACGCUUUUUAAAGUACACUGCUCAAAAAAUAACGUCAAAUCACACAUCACAGAACUGAAAGAAAUAUUUCAGUUGAAAAUCUUUAUUGAUUACAGCGUGUAAUUUGUUGCGGAAAGAAUAACAUAAGAAAGGUCAUUACUGGAGCCAAAGUCAUUACUGGAUUCAGAAUCACUCAAAAUCAAAAGCUCAGAAAAAGUUCAGGAGUGUAUAUGGCCUCCACACAUCUCUGCAUUCCCUACAACAUGUGGGCAUGUUCUUGAUGAGAUGAUAGAUGGUCUCCUGGGGAAUCUCCUCUCAGACUUGAAUCAGGGCAUCAGCCAGCUCUUGGACAGUUCAUGGUGCAACAUUACAUGAUGUCCCAGAGGUGCUAGGUUGGAUUGACAUACACACGAGUGGUCUGCUGGAGGUCACUUUGUAGGGCUCUGGCAGCUCCUCUUGUUCCUCCUUGCACAAAGGUACAGAGAGUAGUCCUGCAGCUGGAUUAUUGCCCUCUUACAGCCCCCUCUACCUCUCCUGGUGUGCUGGCCUGUCUCCUGGUCAGAAAGGAUAAGGAGAGGAAAACAGUCUGUGGCCUCCACCUUUAAAACCACUCCUUAAUAGGGUUUGUCUUCCUAAUUGCCUCUCCUAUCCACCUGCUGUCCAUCCCAUUUGUGCAGCAGUAGGUGAAAUUGAUCCACAAUCAUUAUUGCUUCCUAAGUGGACAGGUUGAUACCCUGGAAGUGUUAUUGACUUACGCUAGGAUGAUUUUGUGUUCCCUUUAUCUUUUGAGCAGUGUAUACACAGUAUGUACAAAUAUGUAAAUUUAAGACUAAAAUGCCAAUCAGUACAACAAAGAGGGAAAUUUGUGCUUCUGUGUAAGUCAGAUUUUUUUUUUGCUGGAUUCAAAUGUCCUUGAGACUAAUUUAGUUAAUUAGUUCAAUGAAAACAUGCCAAAAAUAUUAUGUGUCUUUGGAGCAUGCUGCUCUCACGAAGUUUUCUUUCAAAUCAGGCCUGUAAUCUUUUCAUAAUCCUGCUGGUACAUAUACAUCACUGAAAACAUGACCUCCUUUGGGGAGGUAAUUAUAUAGCUCAUUAAAUAUUCACAUACCGGAUAUUUAUUUAUUUAUUUUUGACAAAAGAGCAGAUGCAGUUUAAAUUUAUGUAAUACAGCAAUUCCAUCAGUGCAAAAUGCUGUAUUACAUCAGGCACAGCAGGUGGCUGUAAAGAGCUUCAGUGUGUUUUCCACUGGCUGCUCUCAGGCCUGUGUGCUCUCUGUGUGUGGUGUACUGAGAUGGUGGGAUUGAGUGAGGCUGCUGCAGCUGGCAGCAGCAUAACAGUCAUCAUGCAGGUAUUACGGAUCCUGGGGGAAAAAAAGAGGUCUUUUCUCUGCCUGGAUCAGUGGGCCCAGAGGGGGAGCAUGCUCAAGCAAAGCAGAAAGCUGAUUGGCUACACAUGCUUAGUGUGUUUGUGUCUGUUUGGACCUUUUUUGUUGGCUGUCCAUUGAGGGGAGAGAUUUUCCUCAGAGCCUAAUCUCUACCGUUGAGCAUCAUGGAGGUGGAGAAUAAGCUUGGAACACCUGGGGACAAAUACUUUACAAAUAAUCUGCCGGUCAUAAUCUAACAAAUGCACCAAAAAGGCUUGACUGUGUGCUUACUCGGCUUACUGAGACUUAAAACAUGGAUGUUGACUAACUUUGUCUGUGGGUUUGCAGAUCCAUAUACAGUGAACUCUAAUAGCAUUAAAUGCAUUUUUUUUCUAGGCCAUUAAUUCAGGGAGGAGUAUCAAACUGAAGCUAGCAAAGGGCAUGCAACAUGUUUCUCUUAUCUACCCUGUGAUGUAGAAUAUAUUUCUCUGUAGGAGACACUGCAACAGAAAGAGGAGGAAUUGUUUUGUGAUCAGUAUGCGAAUUUAGCAGAAUUUCAACCUUGAAUGUAAUUGGGAUCAUUUUGAGUCACCCCUUUGCAAGUGGAGCACUUCUUGUCAAAGCCAAGUAGGUAAUUUCCUAACUUAUUAAAGUUUCAGUUCUUUAAAGCCUCACUCUACCCCCCGAGGAGGUAAAUUGUCACAAGGUGACAUGCAUAUGUUGGCUGUUUGUUUCCCUAGAAGCAAGCCUUUGACAACACAGUAUUUCCUUCCCCCCGUCUAAAAAUCGAAAUGCGCUCCAGCUCUGGCAGGCAUGUAGGGACUCAUAUGAAGCCUUUGCUACAGAAAACAUCAGUAUUCUAAUUUGCAGCUGCUUGUUUUCUUCUUGCACGAUCUCUGGCUGCUGUUUUUCACUCUCCUCUGCACUGACAGGCUGUUGAUGGAAUAAUGGCGGUGUCGGGCAUCGGUAUAGCCAAGCCAAUGGAUACAACAGAGAUUGAUGGGAUUGCAGUGUAAAUUACACACAACAACCUAUAUUCUAGGCUUCAGCCAAUGAAGUCAUUAACUAGCAGCCUGGAAAUAAUGCAAUGAUAUAACCUGCAUAUAGAUGGGAAUAUUAGGUUAUAUAUGACGCUUUGCAAAUUAGCAUAUCCUGUAAUUUAAUGUCAAAUGCAGUUGUAAUGUGCAUCAUAAUGUGUUUGUUCAUCUUCUUACUGUAAUGGAGCCUCAGAUAACACUGAUAUAAUUAUAGAUAGCCAUUGUUUGUUCAGAGAUGAAUUAAUUAUAGUAAGCCGUCACAUUGACUGCUAAAAACGCACAUGCAUCAUUGAUAAAAAGGUAGGGAAAAUGUAUAAUUGGAUGAAUGAUAAAUUAAAUUACAUAACUCCUGUUCUCUGUGACUAAUUAUGCUGUUGCACAACACUUCCAUUGACCAGUGUGUUACAUUGAAAAAUACAAAUGAGAAAGAAAUGUGCAGACCUUGCCAGCUAGUUAUUGUAAGAGCCAUUCCUCACAAUGGGCACCUUUUGGACCCUGUGAUAUUUCCAAGCAUUAAUUUUCCAUCCUUUUAACAUUUUCUUACAGAGUGGACACAUUUAAUUUGCGGGGAAACAUGUUGGCGGCGCUCAGGCUCCUGAAUGAUUAGGUCUCUAAGAAAAACACACUUACCAUAACUCAUAUGGUGCAUUAAUAGUCCACUGCAAAGGAAGAUAUCCUUUAAGAAGAAUAGAGGAUUUGCAUGUGCUUGCUGGCUGGUGAGAGUUAAGUCUGAAUUUGGUGGUGUUCAGUAAGAAAUAGUACAGCUUUUGUUUGAGCCUCUUAUAUAAUCAGUAAUGCACAAAAGAAACUGGGAGAUGGAGACCUACUUUAGAAAUCAUUCAACUUGUUUUGAAAGUCUACUCCAAAAAGUUUAAGAACUUAUCUUUUAUAAAAAAAUACAAUAAAAAUGGGUAGGCCUGUAUAAAACACAGUAACUGAUAACUGUAACAGUGAUAUAAACAGUAGCUGCUGAUAUUAUGUAUCAAGGUCAGCUUAGGCUGUGCAAGGUACAAGAUCAACAGGGGACACCUACAUGGGGUUUGGGAACCAAGAGAAAAGAAUUUUAAUAACUGAAAAACCUCAGUUUGAGGCAAGGGGCAAAUGACCCCUUGAUGGUUUCAAUCUCAUCAUUUAUGAUUGUCUGCUUCAGGCCCUGACCUCCUUAUUCUCUUAGGUUCCUCUGGACUGUUGCUGCAGACAUGAACAUCAGCCUCACCGACAUUAAUAACAUAAAGCUAGAGUUAGCUACUUGUAGGCCUGCUGACUGUAAUCACAUUAAAUUAAUUGAACAUAGUCCAUAAUUACUUAUAUCCUAUUCCAGUAAACUGAAUUCAUAUUAUUUCAUCAUUACUUGCUCUGCAACCAAAAUGACAAGGAGCUGUUGUGCUGUAAACUGCACGAAUCGGCAAAACAAGCUAUCGGCAAACAUUACGACACUGCUCCUGAUAUUAGAAACAUCUAAAACAAUGUCACAACCUGGUAAAUUGAGUGAAAUUCAUGACAUUUUUUUGCAAUUGUUUCAGGGAGAACUUGCAAACAAUACGGCAUCUUCACUGAUAUCUGUUUACUCAGAAGAAGGCUUUUGCCCCCUGGUUGCGCGCACCUACUAUUGUUUGUACACAAGAAACCUGUCUACUUAAAAAAAAAAAAAAAAAAAAAAAGGUUAAUUAUAACUGAUUUCCCUUUUUUUCUUUAAUACUGUUACAUUUCUUAAUGCAGUGUAAAGCAUUUUGAUUUGCCUUUCGUCCCACUGAGCAAUAGACGGCUAUUAGAUGUCUAGUUUUUUUUUAAAGACCUAAUUUCAACUGUCUAGAUUCUGUAUAUUUUUAGACGGUUGCACUUGAACCCAUAAUUUGAUAACUAUUUAUCUCAAAAAGCAACUGUGAGUUGCAUAACUGAUCUCCAAGUACUUUACCAAAAUAAUAACGAUAGUCGUUGAGCAAAAUACAGUGUAGUAAAGAUAUAGCCUAGAUUUAGACUUGGUCCAAACUUGGUCUAAAUUCAGACGUCUAAAAAAACUUUCAUUUUUAGACCUGUGGUAGCCUGAUUUUAGACCAAUCGUCUAGGCUACAUUUAUACGUCUAUUACACCUCUUUUAGGCCAAAAAAUGCUCAAAGGGGUACUUCAUGUCGCUGUGUAAAUAAACUUGCGCCUCCCCUUUAAAUAGCCACAAUUUCCCACAGUAGAAAAAAAAAUGCUACUUCCGGCCACCAUUUUUAUGCGUAACGUCAGGUGAAAGAAGGUAACUUUGGAAGGUUUAUCCCAGCGACUUUAUAUGUCCCAAUAUGCAGAACUGGUGUCUAUAAAAGUCUUUCUAAUUAAACUGGGAUAAAUAAAACCGAUAUUGCUCAUAUCGGUCGUAGUUUCUGCGUGACGCUCCUCGCGCGCUUGUUAGCAUUCCGCACGUCCGCAGCUGCGUCAAAUCAAACCAGCACUUCUUCCGGUCACGAGAAGUUACAUGACGGGAAGCGACCACAAAAAGAAAUAACCACCUGUUGCUUGCAAAAAGCAGAAGGUACAAUAAUAUUAACCACGCUACUUUGAAGACACAAGCUGGAUCUGCCUAACGUGACAAGAGGGAAGAAGUGGUCUUUAAGUUUGAGUAAAGCUGCUGCAGAGUUUAUUCAUCCAUAGAAGGCCUAUGUAAUGGACUGGACAGCAAGAUAAAUGCCACAUUCACCUAAAGAAAGGCUGCACAGGACAUGUUGGACAACUAUAAUCAGACACUGAAGAAGAUGUGCCUCUUCAAGAGAUGAACUCUCAGCUCGUCCAGAUCCCCUUUGGCCAUAGCCGUGAAGAGAAGAAGUAAGUAAUUCUUUUUAAAUUAUAUGUUGCAUCACUCUUUGUGCUGAACAUUAGCCUGGAAGGACUGUGUGUGGCUUCUAUUUGCAGGACCGGCUCGGUCUGUUGAUCAGCAUUGCAGUUUUGGUCAUUGAUUGUUGAGCAGGGGUCACAUCUGGGAUUGUGCUUAAGCUUGUUUGGUUAUUGAUUGUUGUUUUCAAUUAGUGUAAGUCGUUGAUUUUAUGUGUCCCUGCUUCAGG